AUGUCGAUCCUGAUCACCACCUAUGAGGGUGCGCACAACCACCCGUUGUCUGCCUCCGCCACCGCCAUGGCAUCCACCACCUCGGCCGCGGCAUCCAUGCUCAUGUCAGGCUCCUCUACCUCGCUCGGCUUCCCCUCUGCCGCCUCCAGCCUCCACGGCCUUCGGUUCGGCCUCCCGGGGGCGGCCAACAGUGCCUCCUCUAACAAGCUGGGUGGCCGACCGUUCUUCCUCCCGGCCGCCACCGGCGCGUCCAUCAGUGCUACCCCAUCGUACCCCACCAUUACACUUGACCUCACCUCGCAGGCCGCCUCGCAGCAGGCCUUCUCCCUCAGCAACAACAACAGGUUCUCCUCCAGCUUCACCAGCUCUCAUGGCCACAGCGGUAACACUGGUAGGUACCCUUCGACGAGCUUCUCCUUCUCCGGCUCCGGCGCCAGCAGCCUGCCCGGCGCCACCGCAUGGCCGGCCGGAGUUGGAUCGUACCUGAGCUACGGAUCCUCGUCCGCUGCUGCGCGUGGGCGCGACGCUGGGCCCUCCCUGCUGAGCCCGGUGGCAGCAGCACCAUGGCUCUGGCCUCCCUCUCGCCUCUAG
This 591-nucleotide ribosomal RNA is filed under the name Triticum aestivum (bread wheat). RNAcentral's name for it is "partial small subunit ribosomal RNA". The record is from RNAcentral. Lineage: Eukaryota; Viridiplantae; Streptophyta; Magnoliopsida; Poales; Poaceae.